GACGAACGCUGGCGGCGUGCUUAACACAUGCAAGUCGAACGGAAAGGCCCUGCUUGCAGGGUACUCGAGUGGCGAACGGGUGAGUAACACGUGGGUGAUCUGCCCUGCACUUCGGGAUAUGCCUGGGAAACUGGGUCUAAUACCGGAUAGGAGCCAUUUUUAGUGUGAUGGUUGGAAAGUUUUUUCGGUGUAGGAUGAGCUCGCGGCCUAUCAGCUUGUUGGUGGGGUAAUGGCCUACCAAGGCGGCGACGGGUAGCCGGCCUGAGAGGGUGGACGGCCACAUUGGGACUGAGAUACGGCCCAGACUCCUACGGGAGGCAGCAGUGGGGAAUAUUGCACAAUGGGCGCAAGCCUGAUGCAGCGACGCCGCGUGGGGGAUGACGGCCUUCGGGUUGUAAACUCCUUUCGCUAGGGACGAAGCUUUUGUGACGGUACCUAGAUAAGAAGCACCGGCUAACUACGUGCCAGCCGCCGCGGUAA
This 480-nucleotide ribosomal RNA is filed under the name uncultured bacterium. Its description in RNAcentral is "partial 16S ribosomal RNA". It matches the Rfam family "Bacterial small subunit ribosomal RNA", at positions 28 to 523 of the family's 1533-position model. The record is from RNAcentral.